Molecule: ribosomal RNA, 408 nt
Filed under: uncultured rumen bacterium
Lineage: Bacteria
Description: bacterial SSU rRNA
Rfam family: Bacterial small subunit ribosomal RNA
Source: RNAcentral
GUGGGGAAUAUUGGGCAAUGGGCGCAAGCCUGACCCAGCAACGCCGCGUGAAGGAAGAAGGCUUUCGGGUUGUAAACUUCUUUUAUCAGGGACGAAGAAAGUGACGGUACCUGAUGAAUAAGCCACGGCUAACUACGUGCCAGCAGCCGCGGUAAUACGUAGGUGGCGAGCGUUGUCCGGAUUUACUGGGUGUAAAGGGCGCGUAGGCGGGAAGGCAAGUCAGGUGUGAAAUCUCUGGGCUCAACCCAGAAACUGCACUUGAAACUGUUUUUCUUGAGUGUCGGAGAGGUAGAUGGAAUUCCUAGUGUAGCGGUGAAAUGCGUAGAUAUUAGGAGGAACACCAGUGGCGAAGGCGAUCUACUGGACGAUAACUGACGCUGAGGCGCGAAAGCGUGGGGAGCAAACAGG